UAAGGAAAGGGUUAUGAUGCACCAGGUCCCCCUCUGAUUGGCUGUUAGUAAGCUGCGAAACUUAUCAGUAACAGAACAAUCAGUAUGAUGACCUGGUGCAUCAUAACCCUUUCCUUAUU
This 119-nucleotide small RNA is filed under the name Salmonella enterica subsp. enterica serovar Worthington str. BCH-5715. RNAcentral's name for it is "QUAD RNA". It matches the Rfam family "Short Intergenic Abundant RNA", at positions 29 to 147 of the family's 147-position model. Rfam says of the family: This family contains multiple ncRNA from E. coli that were identified in a large scale screen of E. coli, were they were called candidates 43,55 and 61. These RNAs have also been identified by other groups and called QUAD RNAs. Lineage: Bacteria; Pseudomonadati; Pseudomonadota; Gammaproteobacteria; Enterobacterales; Enterobacteriaceae. The record is from RNAcentral.